UCCCUGAUGGUCUAGUGGUUAGGACUCAGCAUUUUCAUCACUGUAGCCUGGGUUCAAUCCCUGCUCUGGGAA
This 72-nucleotide transfer RNA is filed under the name Sus scrofa (pig). It matches the Rfam family "tRNA". Rfam says of the family: Transfer RNA (tRNA) molecules are approximately 80 nucleotides in length. Their secondary structure includes four short double-helical elements and three loops (D, anti-codon, and T loops). Further hydrogen bonds mediate the characteristic L-shaped molecular structure. tRNAs have two regions of fundamental functional importance: the anti-codon, which is responsible for specific mRNA codon recognition, and the 3' end, to which the tRNAs corresponding amino acid is attached (by aminoacyl-tRNA synthetases). tRNAs cope with the degeneracy of the genetic code in two manners: having more than one tRNA (with a specific anti-codon) for a particular amino acid; and 'wobble' base-pairing, i.e. permitting non-standard base-pairing at the 3rd anti-codon position. The record is from Rfam by way of RNAcentral. Lineage: Eukaryota; Metazoa; Chordata; Mammalia; Artiodactyla; Suidae.